GCAGCCAAAGACAAUUACAGUCGCAUAGAACUGUGCACCUCUUCCAUUAACCCACUCAGAAAAGCCAUAAAGAUCAAAUUACAAAGAAAUGGGAAGAGAUUAGAAGAACUACCUUCUGAAACGCCUUCAAAGGGUUAUUUCUGACUGUCUGCUUUACUCUAGAAAGAACCAAGUCUCCAGCUACUUUUGGAAAGGUAUGGAAAUAGCUCAAAGAACACAAAACCCUUCUGCCAUCUCAUCUUCCCUCAAACUGAUCUUGGCACUGACCAAAACAAGAGCAGCUGCUCCCUCUGCAGCUGGAGGUGUGCUGGCCACGGCUUCCCGUUACAGCCCUGAGAAGAGCAAUUGUUUAGUCAGCUAAUCGAGAAAAAUGAUCCAAAGACAGUUUUUGCAUUCAGAUUACACCAGAGCAUCGUUGGAACCCAACCCUCAAAUCAGCUGUGAAAUCACACCCAUGACACGUAGAUGCAUGUUCAUUGUACAUAAUUACUUGUGGAAAGGAGCAGCUUUCCCUUGAAAUUAUCCAUUACCUAGAAAGGUCAAGACAUGAGCUGAUGCAGAAACCUAAAAUGUGAGUCACUAGUAUAGCAAAAGGAAAACUAUAUCCCUAAUAUUUUCCUCCCUCUGUUUAAAUCAACAGUUUGUGAAAACAUAAAAGAAAGUUCUGCGAAACCCAAUUUCUACUCUUUAAAGUUUUUCCUUCCUGAUACUUGGUUUUAUUAACAAUUCCACACCCACAUCUUUUAUUCACCAGUCAGUUAUGUAUUUUGCAAGUGUUAGAAGGAUUUUAAAAUGAAGUUUUAUAAAACAGAAGUCUACAGUCGGAUUUAUGACAAAGUCUGCAUUCAGAAUUAGCAUUUCUGUAACAAAGUGGAAGGACACAGAAAAAACUAAUAUAAGGAAAAAACUAGCUUUACAGGUACACGUUACAGCCACAACACACUGUUUCAUUUUUUCCAGUAAUUUUAAUUUCCUUUAUUCUUUACAAAGUGGAAACUGUAAUCAGGUUAAGAAGAAAAAACAGGAUUACAGUCUUUCUUAUCCUACCAUUAAUAUAACCUCAUUAAAUGUGGUUAUAAAAGCCAAUUUAAUAAGAUGGUUUAAGCCUUAACAGAAAUAAUUCUCCAGCAUCCCAAUUCCAAAGGUGUGCUGUGAAGUUUUCACCCAUUUCUUCAACUUUUAAUAGUUAAAAGGGAAAGUUCCCUGUUUAAGGAUUAAUAUUGCCAAACAAAAAGCAGAUGGUGCUUCAUAUUAUCAGAGCAUUAGAGGCCGACACUUGGUAUUACACAUGACAGUGUUCUAGAAGUUUUAAAGGUAAGAUGAAAAC
Cuculus canorus (common cuckoo) is the source of this 1327-nucleotide long non-coding RNA. RefSeq lists it as uncharacterized. The record is from RefSeq and is a predicted model, not a curated record. Lineage: Eukaryota; Metazoa; Chordata; Aves; Cuculiformes; Cuculidae. The transcript is spliced from 2 exons.